UGACGUCCAUAUCACGUUGAAACACCGGUUCUAGUACAAUCACCGAAGUUAAGCAACGCCGAGCCUGUUCAGUAACUAGAUAGGUGACCGCUUAAGAAUAUUAGAUGCUGUAUG
Acanthosepion pharaonis is the source of this 114-nucleotide non-coding RNA. The record is from the annotation of a GenBank genome assembly. Lineage: Eukaryota; Metazoa; Mollusca; Cephalopoda; Sepiida; Sepiidae.